CUAGCUGUAAAAUAUUAACCCACACCAAAACUCGCCAGGGAAUUACGAGCCCAAGCUUAAAACCCAAAGGACUUGACGGUUUCCAAUCCCCCUAGAGGAGCCUGUUCUAUAAUCGAUUCUCCCCGAUCAACCUCACCACUUCUUGAACAUACAGCCUGUAUACCUCCGUCGCAAGCUUACCCUAUGAAAGCACAUUAGUGAGCUUAAAGAUUUUUACACCAACACGUCAGGUCAAGGUGCAGCCCAUGAACUGGAAAGAAAUGGGCUACAAUCUCUACCUUAGAACAAACGAAGAACUGCAUGAAACACAGUUACUGAAGGCGGAUUUAGUAGUAAAAAGAAAAUAGAGAGUUCUUUUUAAUUGGGCACUAGGAUGCGUACACACCGCCCGUCACCCUCUUCAAUAAUAAAUUUUUUAAUGUUUAUAACAUCACAUAUUUUUACAGAAGAGGCAAGUCGUAACAUGGUAAGCGUACUGGAAAGUGCGCUUGGAACAAAGUGUAGCUUAAUAAAAAGUAUCUUGCUUACACCAAGAAUAUGUCUGUAAAAAUCUGACCAUUUUGAGCCUAAAGCCCAGCCCUACUUUUAUAAAUAUAACACCCACCAACAAAUAGCCGAACUAAAACAUUUUAUUAACCAAGUAAAGGCGAUUAAAAAGUUUCUAGGAGCCUUAACAUCAGUACCGCAAGGGAAAAGUGAAAUAAAAAUGAAAUAAAUUUAAAGCAUACUAAAGUAGGGCUCAAACCCCGU
Molecule: ribosomal RNA, 750 nt
Filed under: Hylophorbus sp. 'Normanby'
Lineage: Eukaryota; Metazoa; Chordata; Amphibia; Anura; Microhylidae
Description: partial small subunit ribosomal RNA
Rfam family: Bacterial small subunit ribosomal RNA (bases 1-504)
Source: RNAcentral